CAGUCGCCGCGGGAAUACGAAGGCCCCGAGCGUUGUUCGGAAUCACUGGGCGUAAAGGGAGCGUAGGCGGCGUGGUAAGUCAGGGGUGAAAUCCCGGGGCUCAACCCCGGAACUGCCUUUGAUACUGGGAGUCUUGAGUUCGAGAGAGGUGAGUGGAAUUGCGAGUGUAGAGGUGAAAUUCGUAGAUAUUCGCAGGAACACCAGUGGCGAAGGCGGCUCACUGGCUCGAUACUGACGCUGAGGUGCGAAAGCGUGGGGAGCAAACAGGAUUAGAGACCCGCGUAGUCCCUGUCUCUUAUAC
This 301-nucleotide ribosomal RNA is filed under the name uncultured bacterium. Its description in RNAcentral is "partial 16S ribosomal RNA". It matches the Rfam family "Bacterial small subunit ribosomal RNA", at positions 509 to 807 of the family's 1533-position model. The record is from RNAcentral.